RNAcentral lists this ribosomal RNA (264 nucleotides) under uncultured bacterium. RNAcentral describes it as "partial 16S ribosomal RNA". It matches the Rfam family "Bacterial small subunit ribosomal RNA", at positions 793 to 1055 of the family's 1533-position model. The record is from RNAcentral.
GUCCACGCCAUAAACGAUGAGAACUAGACGUUGAGAGGGUUAGCCUCCCAGUGUCGUAGCUAACGCGCUAAGUUCUCCGCCUGGGGAGUACGGCCGCAAGGUUGAAACUCAAAGGAAUUGACGGGGACCCCGCACAAGCGGUGGAGCAUGUGGUUUAAUUCGAUGCAACGCGAAUAACCUUACCUGGCCUUGACAUCUACGGAAUCUGGCAGAAAUGUUGGAGUGCCUUCGGGAACCGUAAGACAGGUGCUGCAUGGCUGUCGU